CCUACGGGAGGCAGCAGUGGGGAAUCUUGCGCAAUGGGCGAAAGCCUGACGCAGCAACGCCGCGUGCGGGAAGAAGGCUUUCGGGCUGUAAACCGCUUUCAGCAGGAACGAAAAUGACGGUACCUGCAGAAGAAGGAGCGGCCAACUAUGUGCCAGCAGCCGCGGUGAUACAUAGGCUUCAAGCGUUGUCCGGAUUUAUUGGGCGUAAAGAGUUCGUAGGCGGUCGAGUAAGUCGGGUGUGAAAAUUCUGGGCUCAACCCAGAGACGCCACCCGAUACUGCUUGACUUGAGUUCGAUAGGGGAGUGGGGAAUUCCUAGUGUAGCGGUGAAAUGCGCAGAUAUUAGGAGGAACACCGGUGGCGAAGGCGCCACUCUGGAUCGAUACUGACGCUGAGGAACGAAAGCAUGGGUAGCAAACAGGAUUAGAUACCCUGGUAGUCCAUGCCGUAAACGGUGGGCACUAGGUGUGGGUUUCUAUUAACGAAAUCCGCGCCGUCGCUAACGCAUUAAGUGCCCCGCCUGGGGAGGUACGGUCGCGAGACGUAAACUACAAGAAGUAAGUACGG
RNAcentral lists this ribosomal RNA (566 nucleotides) under uncultured bacterium. Its description in RNAcentral is "bacterial SSU rRNA". It matches the Rfam family "Bacterial small subunit ribosomal RNA", at positions 338 to 918 of the family's 1533-position model. The record is from RNAcentral.